Molecule: transfer RNA, 93 nt
Filed under: Streptomyces platensis
Lineage: Bacteria; Bacillati; Actinomycetota; Actinomycetes; Kitasatosporales; Streptomycetaceae
Description: tRNA-Leu
Source: RNAcentral
GCCGCUGGAGCAGCUGGAUCUGUGGCCCGUCGCUCAGCUCGAUGCCCGUGGGGGCGGCCAUAUCGCGUUCCCGGUCGCGGCGGGAGAGCAGCA